UAGGGAAUCUUCGGCAAUGGACGAAAGUCUGACCGAGCAACGCCGCGUGAGUGAGGAAGGUUUUCGGAUCGUAAAACUCUGUUGGUAGAGAAGAACGUUGGUGAGAGUGGAAAGCUCAUCAAGUGACGGUAACUACCCAGAAAGGGACGGCUAACUACGUGCCAG
Molecule: ribosomal RNA, 165 nt
Filed under: uncultured bacterium
Lineage: Bacteria
Description: partial 16S ribosomal RNA
Rfam family: Bacterial small subunit ribosomal RNA
Source: RNAcentral